UGGGGAAAGAGAAGCCCAUACUGUUGGCCUUACUUCUUAGUUCUUACUCCAUCUUCUCUUUUCCUCUUUAAGUCAACUCUGAUCUAGAUUCUUUCUUCUACACCCAGCAGUCUCCUCUCCUCUCUUCCUGGUACCAAAAAGGGGUAGGAGAGACAUCACCCCUCCCCUUUACUCCACGGAAACAAUAUCACCUUUGAGCUGCUGACACAGUCCAAGUAUUAAGGAAAUUAAGGAAGGAAUGGGACAGAUCAGGAGUUGGAAUGAGAACAUGGCAAGGUGAAGGAAAGACUCAAUGGUUCGUGGUUCAGUUUUCCUAAACUAAUGCCCUCAGAGGCUGGGCUACACCUCCCUUCAAGGCUAACCAAAGGACAUAUUUGGUUAGCCUUGGUGUCACAGCAGACUAAAGUGCUGUUAAGUAACACCAGCUGCCUGCAAUUACUGCAAGUUCAAAUCUCACCAGGCUCAAGGUUGAUUCAGCCUUCCAUCCUUUCAAGGAUAUGUUCCUUUUGAACUGUCAACACAGAUGCAAAUGAGCAAGAAUAAGGGCAGAUCCUCAUAGCAACAUGGAUAUCAGAUAACAUUGUGGGUGCAAUGCCUUUUUUAUGAUGGGCAGAUUAUCUCUGUUUGCAGUAUGAUCAAUCACAAUGAGACGAUAUCAA
Pantherophis guttatus is the source of this 659-nucleotide non-coding RNA. Lineage: Eukaryota; Metazoa; Chordata; Lepidosauria; Squamata; Colubridae. The record is from RefSeq and is a predicted model, not a curated record.